AGUCUAGUAGCUCAGAUUGGCAGAGCGCCAGAUUGAGGAUCUGGAGGCCAGAGGUUCGACUCCUCUCUAGACUGCCA
RNAcentral lists this transfer RNA (77 nucleotides) under bacterium. Its description in RNAcentral is "tRNA-Leu". It matches the Rfam family "tRNA". From Rfam's summary of the family: Transfer RNA (tRNA) molecules are approximately 80 nucleotides in length. Their secondary structure includes four short double-helical elements and three loops (D, anti-codon, and T loops). Further hydrogen bonds mediate the characteristic L-shaped molecular structure. tRNAs have two regions of fundamental functional importance: the anti-codon, which is responsible for specific mRNA codon recognition, and the 3' end, to which the tRNAs corresponding amino acid is attached (by aminoacyl-tRNA synthetases). tRNAs cope with the degeneracy of the genetic code in two manners: having more than one tRNA (with a specific anti-codon) for a particular amino acid; and 'wobble' base-pairing, i.e. permitting non-standard base-pairing at the 3rd anti-codon position. The record is from RNAcentral.